RNAcentral lists this ribosomal RNA (447 nucleotides) under uncultured bacterium. RNAcentral describes it as "partial 16S ribosomal RNA". It matches the Rfam family "Bacterial small subunit ribosomal RNA", at positions 29 to 523 of the family's 1533-position model. The record is from RNAcentral.
AGCGAACGCUGGCGGCAGGCUUAACACAUGCAAGUCGAACGCCCCGCAAGGGGAGUGGCAGAUGGGUGAGUAACACGUGGGAACGUACCCUUUGGUUCGGAAUAACUUGGGGAAACUCAAGCUAAUACCGGAUAAGCCCUUAUGGGGAAAGGUUUACUGCCGAAGGAUCGGCCCGCGUCUGAUUAGCUAGCUGGUGAGGUAAUGGCUCACCAAGGCGACGAUCAGUAGCUGGUCUGAGAGGAUGAUCAGCCACACUGGGACUGAGACACGGCCCAGACUCCUACGGGAGGCAGCAGUGGGGAAUAUUGGACAAUGGGGGCAACCCUGAUCCAGCCAUGCCGCGUGAGUGAUGAAGGCCUUAGGGUUGUAAAGCUCUUUUACCCGGGACGAUAAUGACUGUACCGGGAGAAUAAGCCCCGGCUAACUUCGUGCCAGCAGCCGCAGUAA